Molecule: ribosomal RNA, 465 nt
Filed under: uncultured bacterium
Lineage: Bacteria
Description: partial 16S ribosomal RNA
Rfam family: Bacterial small subunit ribosomal RNA
Source: RNAcentral
GACGAACGCUGGCGGCGUGCUUAACACAUGCAAGUCGAACGGAAAGGCCCUGCUUGCAGGGUACUCGAGUGGCGAACGGGUGAGUAACACGUGGGUGAUCUGCCCUGCACUUCGGGAUAAGCCUGGGAAACUGGGUCUAAUACCGGAUAGGAGCCAUUUUUAGUGUGAUGGUUGGAAAGUUUUUUCGGUGUAGGAUGAGCUCGCGGCCUAUCAGCUUGUUGGUGGGGUAAUGGCCUACCAAGGCGGUGACGGGUAGCCGGCCUGAGAGGGUGGACGGCCACAUUGGGACUGAGAUACGGCCCAGACUCCUACGGGAGGCAGCAGUGGGGAAUAUUGCACAAUGGGCGCAAGCCUGAUGCAGCGACGCCGCGGGGGGGAUGACGGCCUUCGGGUUGUAAACUCCUUUCGCUAGGGACGAAGCUUUUUGUGACGGUACCUAGAUAAGAAGCACCGGCUAACUACGUG